This is a long non-coding RNA of Thalassophryne amazonica, 372 nucleotides long. RefSeq lists it as uncharacterized. The record is from RefSeq and is a predicted model, not a curated record. NCBI's taxonomy places the organism in Eukaryota, Metazoa, Chordata, Actinopteri, Batrachoidiformes, Batrachoididae. The transcript has 2 exons.
AGUGACUUUAAGUCAUAUUUGCACCGUGUUACAAGAAACUUUCAUGCAAAAUAUCUGUCCUGCACAUGGUGAGCCAUUUAGGGUUCAGUGUCCUACUAAUGGACACUUUGUGACAUUUCUUGGGACAAUGAACAACCUACUGUACCAACUGAGUUGGGGUUGUCCCAGUAAAUGAUAUGAUCUUAAGAUGAAGACCUUUUAAUCUGAUGAAUGAUGUUGGAAUUACUGUCAGUUUUGUAUGUAGUUCAUGAGUCCAUGUAGUUUGUGAGUUCAUGGGAAAGUGGGUGUAAACUUUUGACUGGUAGUUUAGGUUGGUCUUUAUUAUCCAAAUGCUGUGAACAAGCCCAACCUAAACAUUUACAUUUUAGGAAA